RNAcentral lists this ribosomal RNA (395 nucleotides) under uncultured bacterium. RNAcentral describes it as "partial 16S ribosomal RNA". It matches the Rfam family "Bacterial small subunit ribosomal RNA", at positions 523 to 918 of the family's 1533-position model. The record is from RNAcentral.
AUACGUAGGGUGCAAGCGUUAAUCGGAAUUACUGGGCGUAAAGCGUGCGCAGGCGGUUUUGUAAGACAGAGGUGAAAUCCCCGGGCUCAACCUGGGAACUGCCUUUGUGACUGCAAGGCUGGAGUACGGCAGAGGGGGAUGGAAUUCCGCGUGUAGCAGUGAAAUGCGUAGAUAUGCGGAGGAACACCGAUGGCGAGGCCAAUCCCCUGGGCCUGUACUGACGCUCAUGCACGAAAGCGUGGGGAGCAAACAGGAUUAGAUACCCUGGUAGUCCACGCCCUAAACGAUGUCAACUGGUUGUUGGGUCUUCAUUGACUCAGUAACGAAGCUAACGCGUGAAGUUGACCGCCUGGGGAGUACGGCCGCAAGGUUGAAACUCAAAUGAAUUGACGGGG